GUGCAUUUCAUCUGUGAUCAGGCAAACACGUCGGACAUGAGCAGUUGGCAUUCUGAAGCAAUUGUCCCUGAUAAUGAUUGCAGACUUGUACAUGCUAAGUCAUGCGUGUACAUAGAUUCUUAUGGUUCUAGCUAUAUUAAGUUUAUUGAGAUUUCCAAGCUGAGGUUCGUCCACCAAGAUCUCCCAGAGAAGUUAUGUAUU
RNAcentral lists this unclassified non-coding RNA (201 nucleotides) under Hevea brasiliensis (rubber tree). Lineage: Eukaryota; Viridiplantae; Streptophyta; Magnoliopsida; Malpighiales; Euphorbiaceae. The record is from RNAcentral.